Molecule: ribosomal RNA, 201 nt
Filed under: uncultured bacterium
Lineage: Bacteria
Description: partial 16S ribosomal RNA
Rfam family: Bacterial small subunit ribosomal RNA
Source: RNAcentral
UACGGAGGGUGCAAGCGUUAUCCGGAUUUACUGGGUUUAAAGGGUGCGCAGGCGGAUAUGUAAGUCAGUGGCGAAAUCUCUGGGCUUAACCCGGAAAUUGCCAUUGAUACUAUAUAUCUUGAAUGCUGUGGAGGUAAGCGGAAUAUGUCAUGUAGCGGUGAAAUGCUUAGAGAUGACAUAGAACACCUAAUUGCGAAGGCA